AAUGAAUAAAAUUUUAAUGGCCGCAGUAAUUUGACUGUGCAAAGGUAGCAUAAUCAUUAGUCUUUUAAUUGAAGGCUUGUAUGAAUGGUUGGACGAAGUAUAAUCUGUUUCAUAAAAAUUUAUAAUAGAAUUUUAUAUUUUAGUGAAAAAGCUAAAAUUUUAUUAAAAGACGAGAAGACCCUAUAAAUCUUUAUAAUUUUUAUUAUUUUAAUUUUUUUGAUUAAUUUUAUUAUUAUAAUUGGAAUUAUUUUAUUGGGGUGAUAUUAAAAUUUAAAAAACUUUUAAUUUUUUUUUUCAUUAAUUUAUGUUUUGUUGAUCCAUUAAUAAUGAUUAUUAGAAUAAGUUACUUUAGGGAUAACAGCGUAAUUUUUUUGGAGAGUUCUUAUUGAUAAAAAAGUUUGCGACCUCGAUGUUGGAUUAAGAAAUAAUUUUAGGUGUAGAUGCUUAAA
This 449-nucleotide ribosomal RNA is filed under the name Tephritomyia menagesha. RNAcentral's name for it is "partial large subunit ribosomal RNA". The record is from RNAcentral. Lineage: Eukaryota; Metazoa; Arthropoda; Insecta; Diptera; Tephritidae.